This 441-nucleotide ribosomal RNA is filed under the name uncultured Alphaproteobacteria bacterium. RNAcentral's name for it is "bacterial SSU rRNA". It matches the Rfam family "Bacterial small subunit ribosomal RNA", at positions 8 to 485 of the family's 1533-position model. Lineage: Bacteria; Pseudomonadati; Pseudomonadota; Alphaproteobacteria. The record is from RNAcentral.
AGAGUUUGAUCCUGGCUCAGAACGAACGCUGGCGGCAGGCCUAACACAUGCAAGUCGAGGGAGAAGCUACUUUCGGGUAGUGGAGACCGGCAGACGGGUGAGUAACACGUGGGAACAUACCUAGUGGUGGGGGAUAACAGUUGGAAACGACUGCUAAUACCGCAUACGCCCUUCGGGGGAAAGAUUUAUCGCCAUUAGAUUGGCCCGCGUUAGAUUAGCUAGUUGGUAAGGUAACGGCUUACCAAGGCGACGAUCUAUAGCUGGUUUGAGAGGAUGAUCAGCCACACUGGGACUGAGACACGGCCCAGACUCCUACGGGAGGCAGCAGUGGGGAAUAUUGCGCAAUGGAGGAAACUCUGACGCAGCCAUGCCGCGUGAGUGAAGAAGGCCUUAGGGUUGUAAAGCUCUUUCAGACGUGAUGAUGAUGACAGUAACGUCANA